GCUGGGUGUGGUGGUGCACACCUGUAAUCCCAGCAAACUGGGAAGCUGAGGCAGGAGGAUCACGAGUUCAAACCCAGCCUCAG
This 83-nucleotide small RNA is filed under the name Marmota monax (woodchuck). The record is from RNAcentral. Lineage: Eukaryota; Metazoa; Chordata; Mammalia; Rodentia; Sciuridae.